RNAcentral lists this ribosomal RNA (253 nucleotides) under uncultured bacterium. RNAcentral describes it as "partial 16S ribosomal RNA". It matches the Rfam family "Bacterial small subunit ribosomal RNA", at positions 524 to 776 of the family's 1533-position model. The record is from RNAcentral.
UACGUAGGGUGCAAGCGUUGUCCGGAAUUAUUGGGCGUAAAGAGCUCGUAGGCGGUCUGUCGCGUCGGAUGUGAAAACCCAGGGCUCAACCCUGGGCCUGCAUUCGAUACGGGCAGACUAGAGUGCUGUAGGGGAGACUGGAAUUCCUGGUGUAGCGGUGAAAUGCGCAGAUAUCAGGAGGAACACCGGUGGCGAAGGCGGGUCUCUGGGCAGUAACUGACGCUGAGGAGCGAAAGCGUGGGGAGCGAACAGG